Molecule: ribosomal RNA, 397 nt
Filed under: uncultured bacterium
Lineage: Bacteria
Description: partial 16S ribosomal RNA
Rfam family: Bacterial small subunit ribosomal RNA
Source: RNAcentral
AUACGUAGGUGACAAGCGUUAUCCGGAUUUACUGGGUGUAAAGGGCGUGUAGGCGGUUUAGCAAGUCAGAAGUGAAAUUCCCGGGCUUAACUUGGGCGCUGCUUCUGAAACUGCUUUACUUGAGUGCUGGAGAGGAUAGUGGCAUUCCUAGUGUAGUGGUAAAAUGCGCAGAUAUUAGGAGGAACACCGGUGGCGAAGGCGGCUAUCUGGACAGUAACUGACGCUGAGGCGCGAAAGCAUGGGGAGCAAACAGGAUUAGAUACCCUGGUAGUCCGUGCCGUAAACGAUGAAUACUAGGUGUAGGGGGUAUCGACUCCCUCUGUGCCGCAGUUAACACAUUAAGUAUUCCACCUGGGGAGUACGGCCGCAAGGUUGAAACUCAAAGGAAUUGGCGGGG